CAAAUAUCACAUUGAUGACAUGAAGUCUCAACUGGCUAGGGAAUUUGAAAUGAAGGACUUGGGACCAGCAAACAAGAUUCUAGGGAUGCAAAUUCACCGAGACAGAAAUAAUAGGAAGAUUUGGCUUUCUCAGCAGAAUUAUCUGAAGAAAAUCUUGCGGCGCUUCAACAUGCAAGAUUGUAAGUCAAUUUCUACCCCUCUUUCUAUUAAUUUCAAGUUAUCCUCAAGUAUGAGUCCUAGCAACGAAGCAGAGAGGAUGGAGAUGUCUCGAGUACCGUAUGCAUCAGC
This is a long non-coding RNA of Ipomoea nil (Japanese morning glory), 288 nucleotides long. RefSeq lists it as uncharacterized. The record is from RefSeq and is a predicted model, not a curated record. The transcript has 3 exons. Lineage: Eukaryota; Viridiplantae; Streptophyta; Magnoliopsida; Solanales; Convolvulaceae.